RNAcentral lists this ribosomal RNA (253 nucleotides) under uncultured bacterium. Its description in RNAcentral is "partial 16S ribosomal RNA". It matches the Rfam family "Bacterial small subunit ribosomal RNA", at positions 524 to 776 of the family's 1533-position model. The record is from RNAcentral.
UACGUAGGGAGCAAGCGUUGUCCGGAAUCAUUGGGCGUAAAGCGCGCGUAGGGGGCCUCAUAAGUCCGCUGUGAAAGUCAAAGGCUCAACCUUUGAAAGCCGGUGGAUACUGUGAGGCUAGAGUACGGAAGAGGCGAGUGGAAUUCCUGGUGUAGCGGUGGAAUGCGCAGAUAUCAGGAGGAACACCAAUAGCGAAGGCAACUCGCUGGGACGUUACUGACACUGAGGCGCGAAAGCGUGGGGAGCGAACAGG